CGCCUUUGGACUGAGAUCAAAAGGUUGGGCCUGCCCGGUGUCUUGUAGAUAAACGGCUGCAGUACUCUGACUGUGCAAAGGUAGCAAAAUCAAUUGUUCAUUAAUUGUGGACUGGAAUCAAUGGUUUGACGAUAAAAUGACUGUCUUUCUCUACUAAGCUUUAAAAUUAACAUAAAAGUGAAGAGGCUUUUAUAGUUUAGCGGGACGAGAAGACCCCGUUGAGCUUUAAUUAGGCUUUUUGUUUUAAUAACACCUAAUUUUAGUUGGGGCAACUAUUUUUAUGUUAUAACACAAAAAUAUCAAAACUAUGAUUUUAAUCUAAUGUGAGCCUUAAUUAUUAGGAUCAAUAGAAUAAGUUACCACGGGGAUAACAGCGUAAUUUUUUUUGAGAGUUCUUAUUGACAAAAAAGUUUGCGACCUCGAUGUUGGAUCAUAGCCUCCUAGGGGUGCAGCCGCUUCUAAGGGUUGGUUUGUUCAACCAUUAAAGCU
RNAcentral lists this ribosomal RNA (489 nucleotides) under Macrophiothrix koehleri. RNAcentral's name for it is "partial 16S ribosomal RNA". It matches the Rfam family "Bacterial large subunit ribosomal RNA", at positions 1829 to 2595 of the family's 2925-position model. Lineage: Eukaryota; Metazoa; Echinodermata; Ophiuroidea; Amphilepidida; Ophiotrichidae. The record is from RNAcentral.